RNAcentral lists this ribosomal RNA (443 nucleotides) under uncultured bacterium. Its description in RNAcentral is "partial 16S ribosomal RNA". It matches the Rfam family "Bacterial small subunit ribosomal RNA", at positions 338 to 795 of the family's 1533-position model. The record is from RNAcentral.
CCUACGGGAGGCAGCAGUGGGGAAUAUUGGGCAAUGGGCGCAAGCCUGACCCAGCAACGCCGCGUGAAGGAAGAAGGCUUUCGGGUUGUAAACUUCUUUUCUCAGGGACGAAGAAAGUGACGGUACCUGAGGAAUAAGCCACGGCUAACUACGUGCCAGCAGCCGCGGUAAUACGUAGGUGGCAAUCGUUAUCCGGAUUUAUUGGGUGUAAAGGGCGAGUAGGCGAGAGCGCAAGUCAGAUGUGAAAACUCAGGGCUCAACCCUGAGCCUGCAUUUGAAACUGUGUUUCUUGAGUGCUGGAGAGGCAAUCGGAAUUCCGGGUGUAGCGGUGAAAUGCGUAGAUAUACGGAGGAACACCAGUGGCGAAGGCGGAUUGCUGGCCAGUAACUGACGCUGAGGCGCGAAAGCGUGGGGAGCGAACAGGAUUAGAUACCCUUGUAGUC